Molecule: ribosomal RNA, 295 nt
Filed under: uncultured soil bacterium
Lineage: Bacteria
Description: partial 16S ribosomal RNA
Rfam family: Bacterial small subunit ribosomal RNA
Source: RNAcentral
AGAACGAACGCUGGCGGCAUGCCUAACACAUGCAAGUCGAACGAGACCUUCGGGUCUAGUGGCGCACGGGUGCGUAACGCGUGGGAAUCGUACCCUUGGGUUCGGAAUAACAGUUGGAAACGACUGCUAAUACCGGAUGAUGACGUAAGUCCAAAAGAUUUAUCGCCCAGGGAUGAGCCCGCGUAGGAUUAGCUAGUUGGUGAGGUAAAGGCUCACCAAGGCGACGAUCCUUAGCUGGUCUGAGAGGAUGAUCAGCCACACUGGGACUGAGACACGGCCCAGACUCCUACGGGAG